UCUCCUCCUUCUCCUUCUCUUUCUCCUCCUUUUUCUCCCUCUCUUUCUCCUCCUCCUUCUCCUCCUUCUUCUCCUCUUUCUUUUUCUCAACCUUUUUCUCAGUCUC
Molecule: ribosomal RNA, 106 nt
Filed under: Paramoeba aestuarina
Lineage: Eukaryota; Discosea; Flabellinia; Dactylopodida; Paramoebidae
Description: partial Trypanosomatid mitochondrial large subunit ribosomal RNA
Source: RNAcentral